This 554-nucleotide ribosomal RNA is filed under the name Odorrana ishikawae (Ishikawa's frog). Its description in RNAcentral is "partial 16S ribosomal RNA". It matches the Rfam family "Bacterial large subunit ribosomal RNA", at positions 1819 to 2596 of the family's 2925-position model. The record is from RNAcentral. Lineage: Eukaryota; Metazoa; Chordata; Amphibia; Anura; Ranidae.
CGCCUCUUGAUCAAACAUAAGAGGUCUAGCCUGCCCAGUGACAAAAUUCAACGGCCGCGGUAUACUAACCGUGCGAAGGUAGCAUAAUCACUUGUUCUUUAAAUAGGGACUCGUAUCAACGGCAUCACGAGGGCUAUACUGUCUCCUUUAUCUAAUCAGUGAAACUGAUCCCCCCGUGAAGAAGCGGGGAUAUAAUCAUAAGACGAGAAGACCCCAUGGAGCUUUAAACCCAACACGCACCUCUUCACCCGAAUAUCAAUUUAACCAAAGAGGCCUGUGCAUUGGUUUUAGGCUGGGGGGGCCACGGAGUAAAAUUAAACCUCCAUAACAAAUGGGCUAAUACCCUUAUCCACGAUAUUACAAAUCUAAGAAUCACUAAAAUGAUGUUUAAUGACCCGAUAAUUCGAUCAAUGAACCAAGUUACCCUGGGGAUAACAGCGCAAUCCACUUCAAGAGCUCCUAUCGACAAGUGGGUUUACGACCUCGAUGUUGGAUCAGGGUAUCCUAGUGGUGCAACCGCUACUAAUGGUUCGUUUGUUCAACGAUUAAAACCC